RNAcentral lists this ribosomal RNA (406 nucleotides) under uncultured bacterium. RNAcentral describes it as "partial 16S ribosomal RNA". It matches the Rfam family "Bacterial small subunit ribosomal RNA", at positions 360 to 773 of the family's 1533-position model. The record is from RNAcentral.
AAUAUUUCGCAAUGGAGGGAACUCUGACGCAGCGACGCCGCGUGAGCGAUGAAGGNCUNNGGAUCNUNAAGCUCUGUCCUUGGNNNNNAAGGUCUUCGGACUUGACGGUACCUCAGGAGGAAGCCCCGGCUAAAUACGUGCCAGCAGCCGCGGUAAUACGUAGGUGGCAAGCGUUGUCCGGAAUUAUUGGGCGUAAAGCGCGCGCAGGAGGUCUUUUAAGUCUGAUGUGAAAGCCCCCGGCUCAACCGGGGAGGGUCAUUGGAAACUGGGAGACUUGAGUGCAGAAGAGGAGAGUGGAAUUCCAUGUGUAGCGGUGAAAUGCGUAGAGAUAUGGAGGAACACCAGUGGCGAAGGCGACUCUCUGGUCUGCAACUGACGCUGAGGCGCGAAAGCGUGGGGAGCAAAC